GCCCGAGUCGGUUACAGUACGAAAAUUUCACGCGCCUUAAAUUUUCAUCCCGAAGGUCGCGUGUGUCCUCCCAUUACACAGACAAGUGGCAUUCGUCACGCAUGAAAGUUUCAAGUUACGGUUCCCUUACGCGAACCGUGCAACGUUUGUCGCGUAGGUUAACCUGGCAAACCCGCUGGGAACAGGGCAGUUAUUUUGCAAUUAGUCCCUCCUGGGGAGGGUUUCAAUGUUUUUCCACCCUCUUUUUUCGAGCACAGUUAGCAAUAAUCGUCGCUAAACGAGGGCAGCAAUUUAAAAUCCCUCGUUGUGCUUCAUUGGAAAGGUUGUGAACAUUGGAAUCUUCGGGGUUGUAAGGUCUCUUACCCUAAAGGGGCUUAACACAUUGGCGACAGGCAGAUACUUUACGUUUCUGAAAUUCUGAAAUUGAACAUCGCAAAUUUGUAUCGUUACUGCGAAGAUAAAAAUUACGAAACAUAUUGUGAAAUAUCGAUGUUGUAUAUAUGUGAGGUAUAAAAUAAAAGGAUAUUAAUAAUUUGUUCAUAAGCAGGAAUUUGAAGCGACGUGAAUUCUUCAAGUGGUGACAGCAUGGCCUGUGUCACGGAGGCCCAUCGAACGUCGACACUUUCUCCGAGCGGUGUCCAGAUGUUGCACAGGUCUGCGCCACCUUCGAAUCCCCGAGUUUAGGGCAAUGGCACCUAUUCGGAACUUGAGAACGAGAACGUAUGAAAUUCUAAAGGCAAUUGUGCAAGAAGCCGCAACUCUAAAAAAUAACGUUGCCUCGUGUGUGCCGAACGGAAGAAAGUUGAAAGGCAGUUGAGCGUCUCUAAGUAAAAAAAAAAAUCGUAGCAUAUCUCAGAUACGUUCCCUGACGAUUCCAGACUCCAUGGAAUCGUUCCUUCGUGGAAGAACAUUUCUGAAUAUUAAGAGAGAGGCGAAGCGGAGGUAGCGGAUCGAAGAAAACCGUCGGUGUAUCUCGGAUGGUGGAUGAAAAAUGGAGGGGGAUCGGCCAUCGUAUUCGUCUUCGGACAGAAACUGGCAGCGUGGAAGUUAUCGCGGUCGAAGCGGAAGAAGAAGAAAACGAAGACGGAAACGGUGGGGGGAGAGGAUAGCGGACUGGACGAGGGCUCUGAUAGCCUUCCUCUUCAGCAACGUUGGUAUAGUGUGUCUGGUGGUUGGCUACACUAUAGCCGGCGCUUUCCUCUUCACCCACAUCGAGGGUAGAUACAGCCUGGACGUAGCUGGGGACGUGAUCAGGCUGAGAAACAUGACGGCUGCCACCCUCUGGGAGCUCACAUCCAAGGAGAACGUGUUCUCCGAGAGGAUCUGGAAGGCGAAAGUCCGAGCAAUUCUCGAGAACUAUCAGAGGAAAAUGGUAACGGCCAUAAAGAACGGCUACGACGGGGCGGAUGAAAACAAGAGAUGGAGCUUCGCCGGGGCGUUUCUCUACUCCCUCACAGUAAUCACCACGAUCGGUUACGGAAACAUUUGUCCGAAGACGAAGUGGGGCAAAGUGGCGACCAUAGUGUACGCCAUAAUAGGCAUGCCACUUUUCCUGCUCUACCUCAGCAACAUCGGUGAUAUUCUCGCGAAGAGCUUCAAAUGGACUUAUGCUCGCUGCUGUCUCUGCAGGUGUCGCAAGAAACCGCGCGAGUUGACAGUGAGAGGCGUCCAGCGCGAUGGCGUCGACAUCAGGAAAAAUCAUUGGCAGAUGGUCAACAUGCACGGAAGGGAGAUCGAGGCGUCCAGCGUGGACAAAGAAAUUUCCUUGGAAAGCAGCGAGGGGCUGGAAGAGAGCGAUGGGGAUGACGAUGACGAUGGGAGCAGCAGCUACGACCCGCAGCAAGUCACGGUGCCUCUGACCAUAUGCGUCGCGAUAAUGGUUGGAUACAUUUGGGGCGGAGCGAUCCUGUUCUCCGAGUGGGAGGAGUGGAACAUGCUGGACGGCUCUUACUUCUGCUUCGUCUCCUUAUCGACCAUAGGUUUCGGAGAUAUAGUCCCCGGCGACAAGAUCUACGCUGCCCAAGGCUUCGAUUUAUCCUUCAUCUUCUGUUCCAUGUACCUGAUGCUCGGUAUGGCGUUGAUCGCGAUGUGCUUCAAUCUGAUGCAGGAGGAGGUGAUAGCAAAGGUGCGCGCGUUCGUGCGUACCGUUAAAUAUAUAUUCCGAUGCGACAGGUGACCGAACUCCGUCUCAGCCGCAUUCUGCACCUCCGACGACGUUCGCCAACGAUAAGCGAGAUAUCGUCCCUGCAACUUGAAAAACUAGUUUCCACCCCUCGUACACAAGCAUCAGCGUUAAAAAGGAACACUUGUCCGUUCCUUUCCACCGCUACGUGCCACCAUGUGCCAAGUUCCACAAAAAUCAACGCGUAACAGUUGGCCGAUGUCCUCGCGAGUCCGCUCGAGUGUCUGUUCCCGAGGACCCUCCUGAAAAAUAAAAUUUCUGCCCCUGCUCGGCGACCUGUCCCUGUUUGUUAUUACGGUAACUUUUUGACCCCUGUACGUGACACGUAGCGGGGAUGGCCACGUAAAAAGAAGGUCGACGCGAAAGAUCGCGCAGAGGUCCGUUGGGUCGCGUGGCCUCGGCCUUCGUCGUCCCGCGCUCCGUGGCGAAAGACGAAGGAGACAGAAGAGCGCGUUCGGCGAUGAGAGCGCGCUGGGAGAGGGUGGGGGAGUUCUGGAAAUAGCAGGAGAGGUUGUCGGAACGGGGCUGCGGCGUUCCUUCAUGCGGCGAUCGGACCGCACGAGGCCGCGCACGCGCGUCGUGUCCCUCGACGACUGAUCCUGCGCCCUGCGCACCUUACGGGGUGCGUCCGUGCCGGCGACGCUCUUCAUGGACGGCAGACAGUUCCCACGGCACUCGACGGACGCCGUUUCUCGUCCAAGCUCGUCUCUGCUCGACUCUCGCGUCGAUACCUCCGCGACCUAACCCUGACCGGACCAGGCGUCCAGAUCCGCGCCACUCGAACGCGUCCGCACGUUCGUCGUGCACUUCUGGCAAGCACGCGUCGUGAUCUCGAAGAUGCUGCGUCGCGACCCAGCGCGAGUCAACGUGGCAAGCCACUAAAGGCCUCUGACGGACCAGGAACUCGGAACAGCCUCUGCCCAUGGCUCUGACGGACCGUGUUCCACCGAUCCACGAUCGCUCGUCCGAAGCAGCGACACCAGGUUCGACACCGCCGCGUCCAGACCUUCGGGCAAUCGCCUCGUCGACCGCGGUUCGCGUUGCCCCGUCGCGGAGGUCGCGUCUGUGAUGAGUAGCGAGUGACGCGGAUCAAUGUAAACGACCCCGCUGUCCAGCAUCCUCGACGCAAAGUAGCCAACAAAGGGCGGAAUCGGAAGGGUGACCGUUGACCGCUGUCGUCCCACUGUCCAGGAACACCCUGUACCGUGGACUGGUAUUUCGCGAGAUCGGAAAGUGUUCCUCGUGCGCGACGUCCUCGUCCGCGGUUUGGAUCGGAUAGAAGCCGGCGUUGAUUCGAGGGGAUCGCGAGUUCGUGGCUCCCCGCGGGCUUCGUCGACUGGAAGAAGACGGGGGAUCCACAUCCAGUCGGAUUCGAUCAGGAAAAGUUUGCCCCGGACUGACAUGCCUCGCGAAACGUCUGUGGGAAGUUGAAGGCUGCUACGAUACGGACGGGAGAGCGAUCGCUGGUAAGGCUUGCCACCGCACCAGAUGGACGAGGCUCGAGGGAGGAUAGUGGAACGAUAGGAGGCGACCGGUUGCGGCUGCAGCUGCGGCGUCGGUCGCUGCACCUGCAGCUGCAGCUGCGGCGACGGCGACGACGGCGACGCUGCCGGUAGCAGCGUUUUGAUAAGACGAC
Hylaeus volcanicus is the source of this 3818-nucleotide RNA transcript. It is a transcript of the gene named TWiK family of potassium channels protein 18, with no coding region annotated. The transcript is spliced from 9 exons. NCBI's taxonomy places the organism in Eukaryota, Metazoa, Arthropoda, Insecta, Hymenoptera, Colletidae. The record is from RefSeq and is a predicted model, not a curated record.